This 575-nucleotide long non-coding RNA is filed under the name Homo sapiens (human). Its description in RNAcentral is "non-protein coding lnc-GALK1-2:5". Lineage: Eukaryota; Metazoa; Chordata; Mammalia; Primates; Hominidae. The record is from RNAcentral.
GAGCGCAGAGCGGUUUGGUCGUUCGUUGGGCGGUGCUGGUUUUUCGCUCGUCGACUGCGGCUCUUCCUCGGGCAGCGGAAGCGGCGCGGCGGUCGGAGAAGUGGCCUAAAACUUCGGCGUUGGGUGAAAGAAAAUGGCCCGAACCAAGCAGACUGCUCGUAAGUCCACCGGUGGGAAAGCCCCCCGCAAACAGCUGGCCACGAAAGCCGCCAGGAAAAGCGCUCCCUCUACCGGCGGGGUGAAGAAGCCUCAUCGCUACAGGUAGGUCGGGCGGGGGAACAAUGGCCCGGCGGUGGCCGGCUUUGUGCGGCAGCGUCCGCUCACUCCUCCCCUGCUCGCUGCAGGCCCGGGACCGUGGCGCUUCGAGAGAUUCGUCGUUAUCAGAAGUCGACCGAGCUGCUCAUCCGGAAGCUGCCCUUCCAGAGGUUGGUGAGGGAGAUCGCGCAGGAUUUCAAAACCGACCUGAGGUUUCAGAGCGCAGCCAUCGGUGCGCUGCAGGAGGCUAGCGAAGCGUACCUGGUGGGUCUGUUCGAAGAUACCAACCUGUGUGCCAUCCACGCUAAGAGAGUCACCAU